UAGCAAUGCUAGUGAAGAUGGUGGGUGUGAUUCUACUUGGACUGGCGUCAACCCUCGACUUGGACGGCUGCGAGCACCCGUGGUGGACGAGCUCUUGCUCAAGGGCUGAAACUUAUUCUAAAAUCACAAAACUGACGAGAGGAUAAUGUACGCAAAUAGAGUAGUAAGUUCAGAAAAAAGGUUCAGAACUAAAGAUAAAAAAGGAAUUUUUUAGUCCAGCGUACAACUUUGGAUAAUGACAACGAAAUCAUUCUUUUUUAGUCAAGCACAUACAAGUUUGAUAUUACUAAUGAAAGUUCUAUUUUUUCUAUUUUUUUGGCUGUGUAUACAUCCAAAAUGUAAGGUUUCAUAAAGCUCAGCGAAAUGGUUGUUGAACUGAAGAACAAACUAGGGGAAGGUGGAGAGAACAGGGUACCCGUCUCGGUCAACAGAGCAAAAGAAUGGUGCAAAGUGUGAACAUGAUCUACUGCCAAGAAAAAAAGCAAACAAGAGAAGCACAAACACACUGUAGCACAAUUUAUGUGUUUGCUGCUACUUUUUCCCAUUUGACGGAGGAAGAUGGAGAUGGGGCUAUAAGAUGUUGACUGUCAUUGCCCUUCCAAACAUGUCGUUGGUGUCGAACCAUUCACAGUGAGGUUCAGUCCAUAGGAUGCUCGUGAUCCUUGCUCCUUCAGCUCCACUUCAUCGGUGCCGUCAGUCCGUAGGGGUAGGGGCGGCGUGCCCGUCAACAAACAAG
Triticum dicoccoides is the source of this 736-nucleotide long non-coding RNA. RefSeq lists it as uncharacterized. The transcript is spliced from 3 exons. The record is from RefSeq and is a predicted model, not a curated record. NCBI's taxonomy places the organism in Eukaryota, Viridiplantae, Streptophyta, Magnoliopsida, Poales, Poaceae.